UACGAAAACAAUAGUCAAGUGAGGCGGUUAGGAACACCCGUCAGGCAGUCCCUCGCCUCAACCCAAGCCUGGCCUAGAUGGUGCAGCCGGCCGUUGGUUCUGCGGCAGUUUCCCCGCCCUGUCUCGGUCAAGGGUACCGGGCUAGAAGCACAAACAAACACAAACGCGCAAAACACCAAGGCCUAGUAAAACAUUUUUAAAAUCCACGCCAGCGAGCGGCAGGGGUUGGGGAUACGCAGGCGGGGCAGGGCAGGGACAGGCAAGGGGCGGCAGCCCGGACACUCACUUGCUACAAACUUUCCCUUCUCCCCUCCCUCCAGUCCGGCAGGGGCGCAGAGAGAGCCAGCCGGGAGAGGGGCGCUAAGGUCAGCAGCCUGAGGCGCCCGGGCAGCCUGCCUGGUGUACAGAAAGAAGGCUAGUCGCGGGGUUCCCCGACCUCUGGGAGGGGAUUCCCUCCUCCUUCCCCGGCCAGGUGUCAGCCGUUUGCCGCCGCGCUUUGCUGUUCAAACCAUCGCGCCAGAGCCCACGAGGACGGGUGUGCGUAGCGAGGACGGGAAGGAAGGGAAAGGGGGUGGCGAAGAGCGUGGUGCCCCUUACUCGUAGUCCCUGAAGAUCUCGUUGGUGAUUCUGCAGUAGAAGACGUGCUCGUCGGGUCGCAGCUUCUGUCGGGACUCUCCCCCCCUCCCGAUCCCGCUUCCUCGUUUGAUGUUUAAUGAGGGAUCCCCUCCAGCUGGGAGCCUGCUGGAUGAGCUUCCCCUCCUGUCAAGAGCUAGGGGAGAGUGCCUUUUUCGGUCUUCCCAGAUAGGUCCGCGAGACAGAUCGACCCUUCUAAGACAGACGAAACUAAAGUUACCAUGCAGAGAUGCCAUGACUGGGUCCAGACAGCAUGACAGACCAACAAGGAGCUCCUCCUCUCACACUCUGGUCACUGAAGAACUGGGGAACCACCAACUGAUGCCAUAUGAAUGUCAGAACAUAGUUAUACUAGAGAACCUUGUAUAAGUAAAUUUGUUCAAGCGCUUUUGUAUCAACAUCUUCUUCCAAGAAUACAUCAUAGCACAAUGGUACUGUUUCUACCCACUGGUUGAACUGAAUAUCCACCUGAAAAGAAAUUGAAACAAAAGGGGUUUCACACUUGAUCCAGUUUCCAGGGCAUACAAACCCCAUAACUACUAACGAAAGCAUGGAGCAAAAGGGCAUCUUUUGUGCAUUAGUCACACUGAAUGGCAUUUUUCAGUGCAAAGACAGUAUGGAUAAAAUCUAAAUAAAAUAUUGUUGAACUUUUGGAUCAUUA
This is a long non-coding RNA of Varanus komodoensis (Komodo dragon), 1294 nucleotides long. RefSeq lists it as uncharacterized. NCBI's taxonomy places the organism in Eukaryota, Metazoa, Chordata, Lepidosauria, Squamata, Varanidae. The record is from RefSeq and is a predicted model, not a curated record. The transcript is spliced from 4 exons.